This 439-nucleotide ribosomal RNA is filed under the name uncultured bacterium. RNAcentral describes it as "bacterial SSU rRNA". It matches the Rfam family "Bacterial small subunit ribosomal RNA", at positions 338 to 795 of the family's 1533-position model. The record is from RNAcentral.
CCUACGGGAGGCUGCAGUGGGGAAUAUUGCACAAUGGGCGAAAGCCUGAUGCAGCGACGCCGCGUGAAGGAUGAAGCGUUUCGGCGUGUAAACUUCUGUUAGAGGGGACGAUUAUGACGGUACCCUCAGAGAAAGCACCGGCUAAAUAUGUGCCAGCAGCCGCGGUAAUACAUAUGGUGCAAGCGUUAUCCGGAUUUAUUGGGCGUAAAGCGCGCGUAGGCGGUUUGGUAAGUUAGAAGUUAAAUCCCUGGGCUCAACCCAGGUUCGCUUUUAAAACUGCCAAGCUAGAGUUUUGGAGAGGGAAGGGGAACUAACAGAGUAGCGGUGAAAUGCGUAGAUACUGUUAGGAACACCAGUGGCGAAGGCGCCUUCCUGGACAAUAACUGACGUUAAAGUGCGAAAGCGUGGGGAGCAAACAGGAUUAGAUACCCCAGUAGUC